This is a non-coding RNA of Podarcis lilfordi (Lilford's wall lizard), 76 nucleotides long. Lineage: Eukaryota; Metazoa; Chordata; Lepidosauria; Squamata; Lacertidae. The record is from the annotation of a GenBank genome assembly.
ACCCAAGGGAUGGCUCAGUCAGUAGAGCACGAGGCUCUUCAUGUCAAGGCUGUGGGUUCGAGCCCCACAUUGGGCU